AACAUGUCUUUUAGAAAUUUAAUUUAAAGUCUAGCCUGCCCACUGAAUUUUUUUUUAAAUGGCCGCAGUAUCCUAACUGUGCAAAGGUAGCAUAAUCAUUAGUCUUUUAAUUGAAGGCUGGAAUGAAUGGUUGGAUGAAAUAUUAACUGUUUCAUAAAAAUUUAUAAUAGAAUUUUAUUUUUUAGUCAAAAAGCUAAAAUAUAAUUAAAAGACGAGAAGACCCUAUAAAUCUUUAUAUUUAGAAAAUUACAAUUAUUUAGAUAAUUUUAAUUUUAUUUUUUUUAAAUAUUUUAUUGGGGUGAUAUUAAAAUUUAAUAAACUUUUAAUUUAUUUUUUAACAUAAAUUAGUGAAUUAUUGAUCCAUAAAUUAUGAUUAAAAAAUUAAGUUACUUUAGGGAUAACAGCGUAAUUUUUUUAGAGAGUUCAUAUUGAUAAAAAAGAUUGCGACCUCGAUGUUGGAUUAAGAUAUAGUUUUAGGUGCAGCAGCUUAAACUUAAAGUCUGUUCGACU
This 510-nucleotide ribosomal RNA is filed under the name Myriophora dennisoni. RNAcentral's name for it is "partial 16S ribosomal RNA". The stretch from base 397 to 510 matches the Rfam family "Bacterial large subunit ribosomal RNA", at positions 2473 to 2586 of the family's 2925-position model. Lineage: Eukaryota; Metazoa; Arthropoda; Insecta; Diptera; Phoridae. The record is from RNAcentral.